UACGUAGGGGGCAAGCGUUGUCCGGAUUUAUUGGGCGUAAAGAGCGUGUAGGCGGCUUUGCAAGUCCGUUGUGAAAACUCGAGGCUCAACCUCGAGACGUCGGUGGAAACCAUCCAGCUAGAGUCCGGAAGAGGAGAGUGGAAUUCCUGGUGUAGCGGUGAAAUGCGCAGAUAUCAGGAAGAACACCCGUGGCGAAAGCGGCUCUCUGGGACGGUACUGACGCUGAGACGCGAAAGCGUGGGGAGCGAACAGG
RNAcentral lists this ribosomal RNA (253 nucleotides) under uncultured bacterium. RNAcentral's name for it is "partial 16S ribosomal RNA". It matches the Rfam family "Bacterial small subunit ribosomal RNA", at positions 524 to 776 of the family's 1533-position model. The record is from RNAcentral.